This 211-nucleotide ribosomal RNA is filed under the name uncultured bacterium. RNAcentral's name for it is "partial 16S ribosomal RNA". It matches the Rfam family "Bacterial small subunit ribosomal RNA", at positions 1290 to 1500 of the family's 1533-position model. The record is from RNAcentral.
AGUUCAGAUUNUAGGCUGAAACUCGCCUAUAUGAAGUCGGAAUUGCUAGUAAUCGCGGAUCAGCAUGCCGCGGUGAAUACGUUCCCGGGCCUUGUACACACCGCCCGUCACACCAUGAGAGUCGAUAACACCCGAAGCCUGUAGUCUAACAGCAAUGAGGACGCAGUCGAAGGUGGGAUUGAUAAUUAGGGUGAAGUCGUAACAAGGUAUC